AAGGUCUUAGCUUAAUGAAAGCUCUUGAGUUGCAUUCAGGGGAUGUUGGAUAUGGUCCUGCAGAUCUUA
RNAcentral lists this transfer RNA (69 nucleotides) under Uraeotyphlus gansi (Gansi caecilian). RNAcentral's name for it is "tRNA-Ala". It matches the Rfam family "tRNA". Rfam says of the family: Transfer RNA (tRNA) molecules are approximately 80 nucleotides in length. The record is from RNAcentral. Lineage: Eukaryota; Metazoa; Chordata; Amphibia; Gymnophiona; Ichthyophiidae.